GUGCUCUCUUCAGCAGCACUAAAAUUGGAAUGAUACAGAGAAAUUAGCAUGGCCCCUGCACAAGGAUGAUAUACACAUUCGGGAGCAUCCUAUAUAUAUAU
This 101-nucleotide small nuclear RNA is filed under the name Microcebus murinus (gray mouse lemur). Lineage: Eukaryota; Metazoa; Chordata; Mammalia; Primates; Cheirogaleidae. The record is from RNAcentral.